UCCCUGAAAACAUGGCGAACAGAGAGAAAAAAAUCGCAAAAUUGAAUUUGAAAAAAAUCCGUAAAAUUGCUAGAAGCAAACCGCUUAAACACUCCAUUAGCGGGUGAAGAAGAAGAGCAUAUUGAUUCAGCUAUGUGGGAUCCUCUAAGUUUUACAUUGAUUGGAGAUGAUUCGCAGCCUGUUGACAUUGGUAGUAGGAAUCCCAGGGAUGGGUAAAUGUUGAGGCCGCCGAAGUAAGGGACGUGUCAGAUGUCGAAAAUGUUCCUAAAGAGAAUUUGAAUGUUGAGAUGAAGUUGGUGAUGUGCGAGAUGUCGAAAAUGCUCCUGAUGUUGGAGUUAUGUCUGAGAAGGAUGAUCAUAAAAGCAAACGAAAAGUUUGUGAAAUAGAAGGCGAAAAAAAUGUAAAUGAUGAAAUUACUGGUAAGAAACGAAAUGCUACUGCUGAUACUCCAAACUGUGGCGCCGAAUCGUCCCCCCUGGUGAUAGUGGAACUCAAACUAUUCAUCUAACCACUGAAGGCCAUUUGGGUGAUGAACACUCUUUGAUACCAUGAGAGUAUAAUAUACUCUAGUGGUAUCAAUGAGUAAAUGAGUAGUAUUUUCACU
Long non-coding RNA from Solanum dulcamara, 604 nucleotides. RefSeq lists it as uncharacterized. The record is from RefSeq and is a predicted model, not a curated record. The transcript is spliced from 2 exons. NCBI's taxonomy places the organism in Eukaryota, Viridiplantae, Streptophyta, Magnoliopsida, Solanales, Solanaceae.